CCGUGUAUCUGUCAAUGAUUUCUUACUGAGUAAAGUGUUAAAAUAGAAAGUUAAUGAAAGGUGAUAGCAAUAAAAAUUUUUUUAAGUAACUGAUUCAAAUUUUAUUAUGGUGAAUAUAUGUAUGUGCCUCAAACGAACUGCCAAGAAGACCAAAGCCUGGGCAAGCGGCGCAGAGAAAACCGAAACCCAAACCAGAACCUCAAGCCAAAACCCCAAAAGGCGCUGCUCUGCGACUUUACGACCUUGUACGCUACCAUUUUAUGCCCUACACGAGGGAAUGCUGAUUCAGAAGGGAAGGGGCAUAUUAGCUGCGGCAAGGCGUGCGUCACAAUCAAAGCUUAAAUGCCAGCUCGGUUGAGGUGAUAAUAAAGAUAAAGCUUUAACAAAUGGCCAAAAAGCGAACUUUAAAGACUUCAAAGUGCUUGGAAAAAUUGCGUCGAAUAAAUCAAGUAAAAUAAAUAUAAAUGCACAUUGCCUUUAAAUAGUUGACUCGACUGGCGCAAAGUUCGAACUCGAGCCAAAGCAAAUAUGGCAACAAAGAGAUAUUAGAUAGAGUAAGAGAGCAAGAAAAGGGAGCGAGA
Drosophila montana is the source of this 581-nucleotide long non-coding RNA. RefSeq lists it as uncharacterized. The transcript is spliced from 3 exons. The record is from RefSeq and is a predicted model, not a curated record. NCBI's taxonomy places the organism in Eukaryota, Metazoa, Arthropoda, Insecta, Diptera, Drosophilidae.